AUAAAUGAUAAAAUUAUAAUUUUUAUUAAUAAUUCAAAUAAUCGAAUAGCAUAAUAGAAAUGUUGGUUGGGUUGAGUUUGGCUUGUUUUGGUGUCUAUUUAUGGGGAGUCAAAAAAUUCGUUUAGCAAAUAAAUUUUGUUUGGUUAACUAAAUAUUUAACCCUACCUCCAAAAAUACCCCACGUAAGAGCAUCAUUGGUAAUAACAUGGUAAGAAAAACACAAAGAUGUAUGAGAAUAUAGCAAGAUUCAGUGUUGCUGAAAGGCAGCACAUAGACAGAAAAAGAGGGAAACAGG
Molecule: unclassified non-coding RNA, 295 nt
Filed under: Hevea brasiliensis (rubber tree)
Lineage: Eukaryota; Viridiplantae; Streptophyta; Magnoliopsida; Malpighiales; Euphorbiaceae
Source: RNAcentral